RNAcentral lists this long non-coding RNA (788 nucleotides) under Homo sapiens (human). Its description in RNAcentral is "non-protein coding lnc-CALCB-4:1". Lineage: Eukaryota; Metazoa; Chordata; Mammalia; Primates; Hominidae. The record is from RNAcentral.
GUUACUGCUCUGUAUUGAAAACCAGUUCUGUUUUACUUCAAAGCCUUUGCUAUACAGUAUACAUGGAGGAAAAUGAGUGACCAGGUGAUCAUAUGGGGAUCUUAAGAAAUACCAGAAGUUGUUCUUUUGGAAACUUGUAAGCUUCUUUUAAAAUCUUACUUCCUGUCGGUCUAAGAAGGGCACUCUUGAUGAAUGCUUCUUAGUUGUUUGUGAGGGUUGUGGCUUAAAGUAGCUAAGCUUUAUAAUUCUGUUGGCUCUGUCAAAUGAAAAGUCUAUCCAUUCCAAAACUGAACAAAUAAGUUUUAUUUCUGUGUGAGAACAAAUGGUUACUUGGAAUUUACUGGGAUUUUUCUUUUUCCAAAUCCACAUAGUACUGGCAACAUCUUUUUUUUCUUUGAUGUUAAGAUAUUUCCAACAUUGAUUCUUUACAGUAUAUGAUAGGUCAAGGGAUUCCAUUCAUCAUAUACUGAUAGGUCCAAGGAUGAGGGAAAAACUUCAUACAAGGGAAAUAUAAGUGUUUUUCUGAUGUUCAAGUGGCAGUAGGUGUGGGAAGCCGUUGCAAGCAGUAUCUCCCAAGAGUGAGCUUAUUCUCCUAUUGUAGAUAUCAGGAUAUCAUUGCUUUCCUUUUCUGCACUGUAUCAUGUUUUAGUUAUUUUAUGGAAAUCUAUCAGAGUGGAAGAGCAAAAGGUCAGUUGGAAGAGAAAAAAGAUGAAACUGAAACUAAAAGUGGUUAAAUAUACUUACAUUAGGUAUCAAUUACUACUUGUAUAUUAUCCAUGUUACAUUUU